Molecule: ribosomal RNA, 253 nt
Filed under: uncultured bacterium
Lineage: Bacteria
Description: partial 16S ribosomal RNA
Rfam family: Bacterial small subunit ribosomal RNA
Source: RNAcentral
UACGUAGGGUGCAAGCGUUGUCCGGAAUUAUUGGGCGUAAAGAGCUCGUAGGCGGUCUGUCGCGUCUGGUGUGAAAACUCAGGGCUUAACCCUGAGCUUGCAUCGGGUACGGGCAGACUAGAGUGCGGUAGGGGAGACUGGAAUUCCUGGUGUAGCGGUGAAAUGCGCAGAUAUCAGGAGGAACACCGGUGGCGAAGGCGGUUCUCUGGGCCUGUACUGACGCUGAGGAACGAAAGCGUGGGGAGCGAACAGG